Molecule: ribosomal RNA, 246 nt
Filed under: uncultured bacterium
Lineage: Bacteria
Description: partial 16S ribosomal RNA
Rfam family: Bacterial small subunit ribosomal RNA
Source: RNAcentral
UACGUAGGGUGCGAGCGUUUAAUCGGAAUUACUGGGCGUAAAGCGUGCGCAGGCGGUUUUGUAAGCCAGAUGUGAAAUCCCCGGGCUUAACCUGGGAAUGGCAUUUGGGACUGCAAGGCUUGAGUGCGGCAGAGGAGACUGGAAUUCCUGGUGUAGCAGUGAAAUGCGUAGAUAUCAGGAGGAACACCGAUGGCGAAGGCAGGUCUCUGGGGCUGACACUGACGCUCAUGCACGAAAGCGUGGGGA